UGUGAGCUCGAUGAGUAGGGCGGGACACGUGGUAUCCUGUCUGAAUAUGGGGGGACCAUCCUCCAAGGCUAAAUACUCCUGACUGACCGAUAGUGAACCAGUACCGUGAGGGAAAGGCGAAAAGAACCCCGGCGAGGGGAGUGAAAAAGAACCUGAAACCGUGUACGUACAAGCAGUGGGAGCCUCUUUUAUGGGGUGACUGCGUACCUUUUGUAUAAUGGGUCAGCGACUUAUAUUCUGUAGCAAGGUUAACCGAAUAGGGGAGCCGAAGGGAAACCGAGUCUUAACUGGGCGUUAAGUUGCAGGGUAUAGACCCGAAACCCGGUGAUCUAGCCAUGGGCAGGUUGAAGGUUGGGUAACACUAACUGGAGGACCGAACCGACUAAUGUUGAAAAAUUAGCGGAUGACUUGUGGCUGGGGGUGAAAGGCCAAUCAAACCGGGAGAUAGCUGGUUCUCCCCGAAAGCUAUUUAGGUAGCGCCUCGUGAACUCAUCUCCGGGGGUAGAGCACUGUUUCGGCAAGGGGGUCAUCCCGACUUACCAACCCGAUGCAAACUGCGAAUACCGGAGAAUGUUAUCACGGGAGACACACGGCGGGUGCUAACGUCCGUCGUGAAGAGGGAAACAACCCAGACCGCCAGCUAAGGUCCCAAAGUCAUGGUUAAGUGGGAAACGAUGUGGGAAGGCCCAGACAGCCAGGAUGUUGGCUUAGAAGCAGCCAUCAUUUAAAGAAAGCGUAAUAGCUCACUGGUCGAGUCGGCCUGCGCGGAAGAUGUAACGGGGCUAAACCAUGCACCGAAGCUGCGGCAGCGACGCUUAUGCGUUGUUGGGUAGGGGAGCGUUCUGUAAGCCUGCGAAGGUGUACUGUGAGGUAUGCUGGAGGUAUCAGAAGUGCGAAUGCUGACAUAAGUAACGAUAAAGCGGGUGAAAAGCCCGCUCGCCGGAAGACCAAGGGUUCCUGUCCAACGUUAAUCGGGGCAGGGUGAGUCGACCCCUAAGGCGAGGCCGAAAGGCGUAGUCGAUGGGAAACAGGUUAAUAUUCCUGUACUUGGUGUUACUGCGAAGGGGGGACGGAGAAGGCUAUGUUGGCCGGGCGACGGUUGUCCCGGUUUAAGCGUGUAGGCUGGUUUUCCAGGCAAAUCCGGAAAAUCAAGGCUGAGGCGUGAUGACGAGGCACUACGGUGCUGAAGCAACAAAUGCCCUGCUUCCAGGAAAAGCCUCUAAGCAUCAGGUAACAUCAAAUCGUACCCCAAACCGACACAGGUGGUCAGGUAGAGAAUACCAAGGCGCUUGAGAGAACUCGGGUGAAGGAACUAGGCAAAAUGGUGCCGUAACUUCGGGAGAAGGCACGCUGAUAUGUAGGUGAAGCGACUUGCUCGUGGAGCUGAAAUCAGUCGAAGAUACCAGCUGGCUGCAACUGUUUAUUAAAAACACAGCACUGUGCAAACACGAAAGUGGACGUAUACGGUGUGACGCCUGCCCGGUGCCGGAAGGUUAAUUGAUGGGGUUAGCGGUAACGCGAAGCUCUUGAUCGAAGCCCCGGUAAACGGCGGCCGUAACUAUAACGGUCCUAAGGUAGCGAAAUUCCUUGUCGGGUAAGUUCCGACCUGCACGAAUGGCGUAAUGAUGGCCAGGCUGUCUCCACCCGAGACUCAGUGAAAUUGAACUCGCUGUGAAGAUGCAGUGUACCCGCGGCAAGACGGAAAGACCCCGUGAACCUUUACUAUAGCUUGACACUGAACAUUGAGCCUUGAUGUGUAGGAUAGGUGGGAGGCUUUGAAGUGUGGACGCCAGUCUGCAUGGAGCCGACCUUGAAAUACCACCCUUUAAUGUUUGAUGUUCUAACGUUGGCCCCUGAUCGGGGUUGCGGACAGUGUCUGGUGGGUAGUUUGACUGGGGCGGUCUCCUCCUAAAGAGUAACGGAGGAGCACGAAGGUUGGCUAAUCCUGGUCGGACAUCAGGAGGUUAGUGCAAUGGCAUAAGCCAGCUUGACUGCGAGCGUGACGGCGCGAGCAGGUGCGAAAGCAGGUCAUAGUGAUCCGGUGGUUCUGAAUGGAAGGGCCAUCGCUCAACGGAUAAAAGGUACUCCGGGGAUAACAGGCUGAUACCGCCCAAGAGUUCAUAUCGACGGCGGUGUUUGGCACCUCGAUGUCGGCUCAUCACAUCCUGGGGCUGAAGUAGGUCCCAAGGGUAUGGCUGUUCGCCAUUUAAAGUGGUACGCGAGCUGGGUUUAGAACGUCGUGAGACAGUUCGGUCCCUAUCUGCCGUGGGCGCUGGAGAACUGAGGGGGGCUGCUCCUAGUACGAGAGGACCGGAGUGGACGCAUCACUGGUGUUCGGGUUGUCAUGCCAAUGGCACUGCCCGGUAGCUAAAUGCGGAAGAGAUAAGUGCUGAAAGCAUCUAAGCACGAAACUUGCCCCGAGAUGAGUUCU
Molecule: ribosomal RNA, 2431 nt
Filed under: Escherichia coli
Lineage: Bacteria; Pseudomonadati; Pseudomonadota; Gammaproteobacteria; Enterobacterales; Enterobacteriaceae
Description: bacterial LSU rRNA
Rfam family: Bacterial large subunit ribosomal RNA
Source: RNAcentral